RNAcentral lists this long non-coding RNA (1663 nucleotides) under Physcomitrium patens. Its description in RNAcentral is "long non-coding RNA (PPAT_LNC006737)". The record is from RNAcentral. Lineage: Eukaryota; Viridiplantae; Streptophyta; Bryopsida; Funariales; Funariaceae.
AACUAUUCUGAUUGCAACCUUCACAGAGAUGAUCGGGAAUCGAUUCAAAUUUUGGCACCACGAUAUUCAGUGAGAGGCUCAUGCAGGUACGAUUGUUUGUUGAAGCUGGUUGGCUGUAGGAUUUAGCAUAUUAAGACUGAUAAUCUACAAUCAGCAAAUUGCUCAGCUCUCUGCUCCAUGGAUUUAGCUUCGGUGAAGUGCUGUUUCAAAGUUGAAUUAUGUGUCUCAAUCCGUCCAGACUCGAGGUUUAUUCGCUGAACAGUUUCGCGCUAGUGAAGCACCACCAUUGCACUUUCAAAUCAUCUUUUGGAGGGUCAUAGGAGGGCAAAAUAGGGAGAUCAACUCAUUUGUGAAGGGCGUGAGAAGCUAAGGCCUUCCAGCUUCAGUAGCCGUGGAUAUUGAGCUCUGAGCAUUGAAUGAAACAACCUUAGUCACACCAGAACCCAAAAUGGCUCUUAAGAGUUACUUUGUAAAUUCACGACAUGAGAUUUUUAUAUUUGAAUUCACCACUUACAAAUUCUCAGCGAAAAACUGAUUCAAACAAGGUCAUUUUGAAUAUGAUCUCCCACAUUGGCAGGUCCAUGGCCGAUGCAACAAUUACUACAAUGAAUUACAUUCUGCUGCGAAUCAGGACGAGGAGUUUGACAAUAUUUCUGAGGAUGAUGAAGGACAUCACUGAUCUCGCAUUGUGAGCGAUGGAGAAGAUACCAAUGAAGCUUUAAUUAUUUCUAAAAGUUGUAAAAUACAUGGUUGUGUUAUGCAAACGGUGCUUUAUUCAUUAAGACAAGUGAAUUUAUACAUAUACAGUGAUAACACUGUGGACCCACACAGGUCUGGAUUGGUUUCUGAGAUUUCAUCUAGUAGUAGGGUUUCAUCUUAUUCUAACACCCUCCUUGAAACCCUAGCAUAUUAGCAAAUUUUAUUUCGCCUUCUGAAGUACAUUUAAACUGUGCAGAAUGGUAUCCACGGAGAUUUUGGAGCGGCUACAAGAUGUAGUGGAUAUGUUGUCAACAAUGAGUGUUGGGAGUUUGUCUUUUAUUGAGUUUUACUGUAGCUUUGUUGUUGUGCAUUGUAUUUGACGAAGUGCAGUUGCACACAGGUUGAAGUCUUGAUUUUGAUUGCUUGGUAGUUGGCAGUCGUGCUUCACCGACUGUGCAAUGUCAUCUUGACUUCAUACUUCUGAUGUCUUCAACAGACUCCAAAACCAAUAAUUCAGGAAGUGCUCCAGAUUGGUGACUCCACGGUUGAGUCGGUAAUGAAUCUACAAUGCUGUUUUGAUUCUAGAAUAUUGGCGUCAACUUGGAUGUUGAAAUUCUAUGUUGUGCGAGUUGGCCAAACUUGGAGAGUCUAUACUAAUUGGGAGGAUUGCAAGAAACAAGUUAUGGGUUAUAGUGGGACUGUACAUAAAAGGUUUUGGUCAUGAUAAGAGACAUAUAGUUUUUUGUUAACUGGAUCCUCAAAUUCAAAAUUCUAGUCUGGAGAAUAACUCCCCUUGUGUGUUAACUAGCUAACAGCUGUAGGUGCAGACACACGAAGACUAGAUAGAUGUAGAAAUAAAUUUUGUUUAGGAUUGUACCUUGUAGAGAAUUGCAAAUGGGUUGAGGAGCUUGAUGUAGUUCUCAAACUUGGUGCGGCCUAGGGGUUUGGUGAGGAUAUCAGCAGG